RNAcentral lists this unclassified non-coding RNA (520 nucleotides) under uncultured Glomus. RNAcentral's name for it is "SSU rRNA". It matches the Rfam family "Eukaryotic small subunit ribosomal RNA", at positions 569 to 1084 of the family's 1831-position model. The record is from RNAcentral. Lineage: Eukaryota; Fungi; Glomeromycota; Glomeromycetes; Glomerales; Glomeraceae.
AGCAGCCGCGGUAAUUCCAGCUCCAAUAGCGUAUAUUAAAGUUGUUGCAGUUAAAAAGCUCGUAGUUGAAUUUCGGGAUCAGUACGCUGGUCAUGCCUUUGGUAUGCACUGGUGUCACUGGUUUCUCCCUUCUGAAGAUCCGUGAUGUCAUUAAUUUGGUGUCGCGGGGAAUCAGGACUGUUACUUUGAAAAAAAUUAGAGUGUUAAUGCAAGGCUAGCACGCUGCAAUUAACAUUAGCAUGGAAUAAUGAAAUAGGACGUUUGACCCUAUUUUGUUGGUUUCUAGGAUCGACGUAAUGAUUAAUAGGGAUAGUUGGGGGCAUUAGUAUUCAAUUGUCAGAGGUGAAAUUCUUGGAUUUAUUGAAGACUAACUACUGCGAAAGCAUUUGCCAAGGAUGUUUUCAUUAAUCAAGAACGAAAGUUAGGGGAUCGAAGACGAUCAGAUACCGUCGUAGUCUUAACCAUAAACUAUGCCGACUAGGGAUCGGAUGAUGUUAAUUUUUAUAAUGACUCAUUCGGC